This 3008-nucleotide ribosomal RNA is filed under the name Salmonella enterica. Its description in RNAcentral is "23S ribosomal RNA". It matches the Rfam family "Bacterial large subunit ribosomal RNA". The record is from RNAcentral. Lineage: Bacteria; Pseudomonadati; Pseudomonadota; Gammaproteobacteria; Enterobacterales; Enterobacteriaceae.
GGUUAAGCGACUAAGCGUACACGGUGGAUGCCCUGGCAGUCAGAGGCGAUGAAGGGCGUGCUAAUCUGCGAUAAGCGCCGGUAAGGUGAUAUGAACCGUUAUAACCGGCGAUACCCGAAUGGGGAAACCCAGUGUGAUUCGUCACACUAUCAUUAACUGAAUCCAUAGGUUAAUGAGGCGAACCGGGGGAACUGAAACAUCUAAGUACCCCGAGGAAAAGAAAUCAACCGAGAUUCCCCCAGUAGCGGCGAGCGAACGGGGAGGAGCCCAGAGCCUGAAUCAGCAUGUGUGUUAGUGGAAGCGUCUGGAAAGGCGCGCGAUACAGGGUGACAGCCCCGUACACAAAAGCGCAUGUGCUGUGAGCUCGAUGAGUAGGGCGGGACACGUGGUAUCCUGUCUGAAUAUGGGGGGACCAUCCUCCAAGGCUAAAUACUCCUGACUGACCGAUAGUGAACCAGUACCGUGAGGGAAAGGCGAAAAGAACCCCGGCGAGGGGAGUGAAAAAGAACCUGAAACCGUGUACGUACAAGCAGUGGGAGCCCCACCACCAAAGCAUUCUCUGGUGUUGAAGGCCCUGCAAAGCAGCAUCGCGGUGGCGGAGCGUCGUUUGCGACGCCCAACACACAAAACAAGCGGUGAAUGCUUUGGGGUGGGGUGACUGCGUACCUUUUGUAUAAUGGGUCAGCGACUUAUAUUCUGUAGCAAGGUUAACCGAAUAGGGGAGCCGGAGGGAAACCGAGUCUUAAUUGGGCGUUAAGUUGCAGGGUAUAGACCCGAAACCCGGUGAUCUAGCCAUGGGCAGGUUGAAGGUUGGGUAACACUAACUGGAGGACCGAACCGACUAAUGUUGAAAAAUUAGCGGAUGACCUGUGGCUGGGGGUGAAAGGCCAAUCAAACCGGGAGAUAGCUGGUUCUCCCCGAAAGCUAUUUAGGUAGCGCCUCGUGAAUUCAUCUCCGGGGGUAGAGCACUGUUUCGGCUAGGGGGCCAUCCCGGCUUACCAACCCGAUGCAAACUGCGAAUACCGGAGAAUGUUAUCACGGGAGACACACGGCGGGUGCUAACGUCCGUCGUGAAGAGGGAAACAACCCAGACCGCCAGCUAAGGUCCCAAAGUCAUGGUUAAGUGGGAAACGAUGUGGGAAGGCCCAGACAGCCAGGAUGUUGGCUUAGAAGCAGCCAUCAUUUAAAGAAAGCGUAAUAGCUCACUGGUCGAGUCGGCCUGCGCGGAAGAUGUAACGGGGCUAAACCAUGCACCGAAGCUGCGGCAGCGACGCUGAUGCGUUGUUGGGUAGGGGAGCGUUCUGUAAGCCUGUGAAGGUGUGUCGUGAGGCAUGCUGGAGGUAUCAGAAGUGCGAAUGCUGACAUAAGUAACGAUAAAGCGGGUGAAAAGCCCGCUCGCCGGAAGACCAAGGGUUCCUGUCCAACGUUAAUCGGGGCAGGGUGAGUCGACCCCUAAGGCGAGGCCGAAAGGCGUAGUCGAUGGGAAACGGGUUAAUAUUCCCGUACUUGGUGUUACUGCGAAGGGGGGACGGAGAAGGCUAUGUUGGCCGGGCGACGGUUGUCCCGGUUUAAGCGUGUAGGUGUGUGUUCCAGGUAAAUCCGGUUCACUUUAACACUGAGGCGUGACGACGAGGCACUACGGUGCUGAAGCAACAAAUGCCCUGCUUCCAGGAAAAGCCUCUAAGCAUCAGGUAACACGAAAUCGUACCCCAAACCGACACAGGUGGUCAGGUAGAGAAUACCAAGGCGCUUGAGAGAACUCGGGUGAAGGAACUAGGCAAAAUGGUGCCGUAACUUCGGGAGAAGGCACGCUGACACGUAGGUGAAGUGAUUUACUCAUGGAGCUGAAGUCAGUCGAAGAUACCAGCUGGCUGCAACUGUUUAUUAAAAACACAGCACUGUGCAAACACGAAAGUGGACGUAUACGGUGUGACGCCUGCCCGGUGCCGGAAGGUUAAUUGAUGGGGUCAGCGUAAGCGAAGCUCCUGAUCGAAGCCCCGGUAAACGGCGGCCGUAACUAUAACGGUCCUAAGGUAGCGAAAUUCCUUGUCGGGUAAGUUCCGACCUGCACGAAUGGCGUAAUGAUGGCCAGGCUGUCUCCACCCGAGACUCAGUGAAAUUGAACUCGCUGUGAAGAUGCAGUGUACCCGCGGCAAGACGGAAAGACCCCGUGAACCUUUACUAUAGCUUGACACUGAACAUUGAGCCUUGAUGUGUAGGAUAGGUGGGAGGCUUUGAAGUGUGGACGCCAGUCUGCAUGGAGCCGACCUUGAAAUACCACCCUUUAAUGUUUGAUGUUCUAACGUGGACCCGUAAUCCGGGUUGCGGACAGUGUCUGGUGGGUAGUUUGACUGGGGCGGUCUCCUCCUAAAGAGUAACGGAGGAGCACGAAGGUUGGCUAAUCCUGGUCGGACAUCAGGAGGUUAGUGCAAUGGCAUAAGCCAGCUUGACUGCGAGCGUGACGGCGCGAGCAGGUGCGAAAGCAGGUCAUAGUGAUCCGGUGGUUCUGAAUGGAAGGGCCAUCGCUCAACGGAUAAAAGGUACUCCGGGGAUAACAGGCUGAUACCGCCCAAGAGUUCAUAUCGACGGCGGUGUUUGGCACCUCGAUGUCGGCUCAUCACAUCCUGGGGCUGAAGUAGGUCCCAAGGGUAUGGCUGUUCGCCAUUUAAAGUGGUACGCGAGCUGGGUUUAGAACGUCGUGAGACAGUUCGGUCCCUAUCUGCCGUGGGCGCUGGAGAACUGAGGGGGGCUGCUCCUAGUACGAGAGGACCGGAGUGGACGCAUCACUGGUGUUCGGGUUGUCAUGCCAAUGGCACUGCCCGGUAGCUAAAUGCGGAAGAGAUAAGUGCUGAAAGCAUCUAAGCACGAAACUUGCCCCGAGAUGAGUUCUCCCUGAGACUUUAGGUCUCCUGAAGGAACGUUGAAGACGACGACGUUGAUAGGCCGGGUGUGUAAGCGCAGCGAUGCGUUGAGCUAACCGGUACUAAUGAACCGUGAGGCUUAACCUU